This is a long non-coding RNA of Homalodisca vitripennis (glassy-winged sharpshooter), 370 nucleotides long. RefSeq lists it as uncharacterized. The record is from RefSeq and is a predicted model, not a curated record. The transcript has 3 exons. NCBI's taxonomy places the organism in Eukaryota, Metazoa, Arthropoda, Insecta, Hemiptera, Cicadellidae.
ACUGGAUUAUAAUGCCUCGUGUAAUAAAUAUUCCUACACAAUCUGGACUUCUUUGAGGAUCAAUUUUACAUGUCAACAAGAGACGACAGAUGGAUGAAAACUGGGCAAUCAAAAAUUGGUAUCUGUGAUGAACACUUCUAAAACACCUCUGAGCUAUACAAUCUGCUGUGUUGACAAUGGCAGGGCAAGAGGAGGUGAUCUGCUGCCACCCUCGGUCCUCACCCGCAGUUGUAGGCACACACUCCAGAGACCUGUGAUCAAUGACAUCACGAGGAACAAUUAAUUAUUACUCGUAUAAUCUAUGUUAGAUCUUUCAUAACCAAAUAAUAUACCAUAUGAGAGUAUGAAAUCUUGGAUUCAUCUUCACAUU